RNAcentral lists this long non-coding RNA (1545 nucleotides) under Homo sapiens (human). Its description in RNAcentral is "HSALNT0385014". The record is from RNAcentral. Lineage: Eukaryota; Metazoa; Chordata; Mammalia; Primates; Hominidae.
ACCGCAAAACCCAAAGACCCACUUAGGUGUCCCCUCUCUCCGCAGAAGAGAGAGCUUUUCCCUUUCUCUCUGUUAAACCUCUUCUCUUAAACUCACUUCUUGCGUGUCCUCGUCCUCGAUUUCCUUGGCGUAAGACGACGAACCUCAGGCAUUUACCCCAGACAACGAAGGUGCUUCAUAAGGUCAUGCAGCUGGUUGGCUUCAUCCUUAGGCUGCCUCUACAGUGGAAACAAGAUGGUGGCUACAUAUUCAGAAGAAGAGUGACAUCUUCUCUUCCACGCACCCCCUUGAAGCUCAUUGGCUCUAACUGAUCAGUUGCUCUGGGGGAAGCCAGCUGUCAUGUGACAAACAGCUCUCCACAGAGGAUUAUGGGGCAUGUAACUGAGGCCUCCAGCCAGCGGCCACGUCAGUGAGUUUGGAAAUAGGUCCUCUAGCCCAGUUGAGCCUUCAGAAGACGACAUGAGGAUUUGCUGCAGUUCUGCCCAACAUCUUGAUUUCAAGCUCAUGAGACAGCCUAAGCCCAAACCACCCAGCUAAGCCAUUCCUAGAUUCCUGACCCAAAGAAACUAUGUGAGAUUAUGUGUCUGGUAUUUUAAGCACUAAGUUCUGGGAUAAUUUGUUUUGAAGCAAUAGUUAAGAAAUACAAUGAGAUAACACUAAACGCAAUGAGAGAGCACUAAACACUAUACUUGGUGUAGAUAAGGUCAUGGAGCCACAGGAAUGCUCAUUUUGUGCUAGUGGAAAAGGAAAUUGGAAAAACCAUUUUGCAAUGUAUAACCAGGUGGCAAUAUCUACAGUUUUAAAGCUAUGCCUAUUAUAUGAUCUCACAGUUCCACUUCUAGGUAUAUAGUGCAUGAUCCUGUGCACAGGAGACAUGCACAUGAAUAUUCAUAGCAGGAAUGUUUGUAGUAGCCUCAAAUUGGAAACCAUCCACAUAUCCAUCAGUAAUGGAAUGGAUAAAUAAGUUUUGGUAGCAGUUGAGCCUUGAACAACACGAGUUUAAACUAUGUGGGUCCACUUAAUAUGCACAUUUUCUGGGUCCACUUAUAUGCAGAUUUUCUUCUACCUCUGCUACCCCUGAGAUGGUAAGACCAUCUUCCUUGAUCCACUUCCACAGUAAAUACAUUUUCUCUUUCUUAUGAUUUUCUUAAUAUCAUUUUCUUUUCCCUAAGCUUACUUGAUUGUAAGUGUACAGUAUGUGAUAAAAAUAACAUGCAAAAUAUGUGUUAAUCAACUGUUAAUGAUCAGUUAAUACUUCUGGUGAACAGUAGGCUGUAAGUAGUUAAGUUUUGGGGAAGUCAAAAGCAUAUGCAGAUAUUUGACUGUGUGGGGUGUUGGUAUCCCUAACCUCGUGCAUUGUUCAAGGGUCAAUUGUAUUUGUACAAUAAAAUGUUAUACAGCAAGGGUUGGAAGAUUUGUUCUGUUAAGGGCCAGAGAGUCAAUAUUUUAGGCUUUAAGGGCUGUACAGUCUCUGUCAUACCUAGUCAACUCUGCUGUUGUAGUAUGUAAGCAGCCACAGAGAAUAGGGAAAUGAAUAAGCAUGGC